RNAcentral lists this long non-coding RNA (713 nucleotides) under Rattus norvegicus (Norway rat). RNAcentral describes it as "long non-coding RNA NONRATT006948". The record is from RNAcentral. Lineage: Eukaryota; Metazoa; Chordata; Mammalia; Rodentia; Muridae.
UCCAUCUUCCUUUCACGGAAAAUGUUUUAACUUUGUCAAUUACCUUUAAAUAAUUCUAUGGCUGAUUGUAGAUUUUAUCCAAUGUGAAAAAGUCAAUCUUGCAUUUUUUUCCCAAGCCACUUCAACUAACUAUGGAGAUAUUAUCACCCCAUAAGUAAGUAUACAAUGUUUUAUUCUUAAGCAAGGGUGAGGGAUCCGAAUAUCAUGUGCAAUGCUCAAGAUGACGCACGCUUCGGACAGAACACGCAGAAUAAGAAUAGCUUCUUUCUUUCUGUAUCCAGGUAAUAUGAAGCUGGCAAUUGCAGUCCUGUCUUUAUGGGAUGAAAAAAGUCCCUUUACAGUAAGUUUCCUGAAAGGGAGAACAAAUAGAUAAUAACUCUUCUGCUAACACUGGCCAGUGUGCUUCUGGCGAUUAAACAUAAUCCUGUGUAUCACAUUAAUUCACUUGCUGAGUGUUCAUUUGCGGCAUCCCUCUGUUGGGUCUUGGGGGCCCUCCAUGACUUCAUGGGGCCCCCCGUGGUCUACUCUGCCCAGAGCCUUGCUUGAAAUUCUGCUGAUAUCCAGCCCACUGGUAGUCAGAGUAGUACUGUGACUGUGUAUAACCACUGUUUGGAGUGUUUGAGAAUGAAGGGCAGUGACCGUCAUAUCCUCCUCUAAAUCCAUUGGCAGUGCCCCUGUAUCCAUUCAUCAAGCAACUGGCACCACGAGACCCU